RNAcentral lists this ribosomal RNA (600 nucleotides) under uncultured bacterium. RNAcentral describes it as "bacterial SSU rRNA". It matches the Rfam family "Bacterial small subunit ribosomal RNA", at positions 884 to 1482 of the family's 1533-position model. The record is from RNAcentral.
GUACGCAAGUAUGAAACUCAAAGGAAUUGACGGGGGACCCGCACAAGCGGUGGAACAUGUGGUUUAAUUCGAUGCAACGCGAAGAACCUUACCUGGCCUUAACAUCCCUGAAAGAAAUUGGAGACGAUUUUGUGCCUUCGGGAAUCAGGUGAUAGGUGCUGCACGGUUGUCGUCAGCUCGUGUCGUGAGAUGUUGGGUUAAGUCCCGCAACGAGCGCAACCCAUGUCGUUAGUUGCCAGCAUUUAGUUGGGCACUCUAACGAGACUGCCGGUGUUAAACCGGAGGAAGGUGUGGAUGACGUCAAAUCAUCAUGGCCCUUAUGGCCAGGGCUACACACGUGUUACAAUGGCUGGUACAACGGGCUGCUACUUAGCAAUAAGAUGCAAAUCCCUUAAAACCAGUCCCAGUUCGGAUUGUAGUCUGCAACUCGACUACAUGAAGUAGGAAUCGCUAGUAAACGCAGAUCAGCAACGCUGCGUUGAAUGUGUUCCCGGGUCUUGUACACACCGCCCGUCACACCAUGGAAGAUGGUAACGCCCGAAGCCGAUGAUCCAACCUUUUAGGAGGAAGUCGUCUAAGGCAGUGUCAUUAACUAGGGUG